AGUGAACGCUGGCGGUAGGCCUAACACAUGCAAGUCGAACGGCAGCACAGUAAGAGCUUGCUCUUACGGGUGGCGAGUGGCGGACGGGUGAGGAAUACAUCGGAAUCUACUUUUUCGUGGGGGAUAACGUAGGGAAACUUACGCUAAUACCGCAUACGACCUACGGGUGAAAGCAGGGGAUCUUCAGACCUUGCGCGAUUGAAUGAGACGAUGUCGGGUUAGCUAGUUGGCGGGGUAAAGGCCCACCAAGGCGACGAUCCGUAGCGGGUCUGAGAGGAUGAUCGGCCACACUGGAACUGAGACACGGUCCAGACUCCUACGGGAGGCAGCAGUAGGGAAUCUUCGACAAUGGGCGCAAGCCUGAUCCAGCCAUGCCGCGUGGGUGAAGAAGGUCUUCGGAUUGUAAAGCUCUUUUGUUGGGAAAGAAAAACAGCAGGUUAAUACCCCGCUGUUUUGACGGUACCCAAAGAAUAAGCACCGGCUAACUUCGUG
Molecule: ribosomal RNA, 492 nt
Filed under: uncultured bacterium
Lineage: Bacteria
Description: partial 16S ribosomal RNA
Rfam family: Bacterial small subunit ribosomal RNA
Source: RNAcentral